CAAACUCACUCAAAUUUCCGUUACCAUUUUCCGAACCCAAAAAAUAUUUUUUGCCUUUUUUUUAUCUCCCCUGAUCUCUCUCCCUUCCCCCACCCCCUCCGAUCCAAACUCCCGGCGAACGCCGCCAUCCGAAUUGGAAACCCUAGGCGGCCGCUUUAAAGCUCGUGGGCGUCUCUAGGGCCUCUCGUUCGACGGAGCCGGCCCGCGGUGGCGGCGGUGUCCGGCCAUGUCGACGGAGGACGAGAAGCUCCUCAAGGAGGCGAAGAAGCUUCCGUGGGACGAGCGGCUUCAGCAUAAGAACUGGAAGGUGAGGAAUGACGCGAACAUCGACCUCGCCGCGCUCUGCGACUCGAUCACCGACCCCAAGGACGCCCGCCUCCGCGAGUUCGGGCCAUUGUUUAAGAAGACGGUUGCCGAUUCCAAUGCGCCGGUGCAGGAGAAGGCGCUGGACGCCCUUCUCGCAUUCCAGCGAGCUGCUGAUGCCGACGCUUCAAGAUAUGCCAAGGAGGUUUGUGAUGCGAUCGUGGCCAAGUGUCUUACGGGCCGACCGAAGACUGUGGAGAAGGCUCAAGCUGCAUUCCUCCUGUGGGUAGAACUGGAGGCUGCAGAGGUCUUCCUUGAAUCCAUGGAGAAGGCUGUGAAGAACAAAGUGGCUAAAGCAGUUGUACCUGCUAUUGAUGUGAUGUUUCAAGCACUCAGUGAAUUUGGAACAAAGGUAGUGCCACCCAAAAAGAUUCUGAAGAUGCUUCCUGAGCUGUUUGAUCAUCCAGACCAGAAUGUCCGGGCUUCUUCUAAGGGUUUGACACUAGAGCUUUGUCGGUGGAUUGGCAAAGAGCCUGUAAAGUCUAUUUUAUUUGAGAAGAUGAGAGAUACUAUGAAAAAAGAGUUGGAAGCAGAAUUGGCAAACGUCUCGGGAAUUGCUAAGCCAACUCGAAAAAUAAGAUCCGAACAAGAAAAGGAGCUUGAGGAGGAGGCUGUGGCGGAGACAACCGGGGCUAACACUUCUGAAGAGGCUGUGGCAGAUGUCCCCGUGGAGAUCGAUGAAUACGACCUUGUUGAUCCUGUAGACAUUUUAACCCCACUAGAAAAAUCUGGAUUCUGGGAUGGUGUGAAAGCGACUAAAUGGUCAGAGAGAAGGGAUGCUGUGGCGGAGCUAACUAAGCUUGCUUCAGCCAAAAAAAUUGCUCCUGGUGAUUUUCAUGAAAUCUGCCGGACACUGAAGAAGCUCAUCACAGAUGUUAAUUUGGCUGUCUCAGUGGAAGCUACUCAGGCAAUAGGGAAUUUAGCUAGAGGUUUAAGAGCCCAUUUUUCUGGAAAUGCACGGAUGCUUCUUCCAGUUUUACUUGAAAAAUUGAAAGAAAAAAAACCAACAAUGACGGAAGCACUAUCUCAAACGCUUCAAGCAAUGCACAAAUCUGGCUGUUUUACCCUUAUUGAUGUGAUUGAAGAUGUUCGGGUGGCAGUAAAAAAUAAGGUCCCUCUUGUUCGUUCCUUAACACUGACCUGGGUUGCAUUUUGCAUUGAAACAAGCAAUAAAGCAACAGUACUAAAGUUGCACAAGGAAUAUGUUCCUAUUUGCAUGGAGUGCUUGAAUGAUGGUACACCAGAAGUACGAGAUGCCUCAUUUUCUGUCUUGACUGCCAUUGCCAAGAUGGUUGGUAUGAAACCUUUGGAACGAUCGCUUGAGAAAUUAGAUGAUGUGCGAAAAAAGAAACUGUCAGAUAUGAUUGGUUCUGCCAGUGAGACAGUUUUGAGUUCGGGGACAGCGCCUAUCACAACUUCAGGAGCUGUCACAUCUGCUCGCGGGGCGGCAGAUAGCUUGUCAAUGAAGAGAUCUGCUGCAAGCAUGCUUAGUGGAAAGAAGCCUGUCCAGGCAGCGGCAGCUUCUAAGAAGUCUGGAACAUCAAAAUCCACUGCAGCAAAAAAGACAGAUGGUGGAUCACAGUCAAAGACAUCUGCUGCUCCUGAGAUUGAGGACGUUGAGCCGACUGAGAUGAGCGCCUUGAAGCUAUUGGCAUGCUCAAGCAGGAGGUGGAAAGUCUUACAGAACUUGAUAAGUCUGCUGAACUUCUGAUUCGUUUGUUGUGUGCUGUGCCUGGAUGGAGUGAAAAGAAUGUUCAGGUUCAACAACAAGUUAUUGAGGUCAUCACCCAUAUUUCCUCGACUGUUAACAAAUUUCCUAAGCGAUGUGUGGUUCUAUGCCUUCUUGGCAUAAGUGAAAGGGUUGCUGAUAUUAAAACACGGGGCCAUGCAAUGAAAUGCCUCACUGCCUUUUGUGAGGCUGUAGGUCCAGGAUUUGUGUUUGACAGGCUAUACAAAAUAAUGAAGGAGCAUAAGAAUCCCAAGGUUCUUAGUGAGGGUAUUCUUUGGAUGGUCUCUGCUGUAGAAGACUUUGGGAUUUCUAAUUUGAAGCUAAAGGACAUGAUUGAUUUUUGCAAAGACAUCGGUCUUCAAUCUAGUGCUGCUGCAACAAGAAAUGCAACUAUAAAACUUAUUGGGAUGCUACAUAAGUUUGUGGGACCAGACAUCAAGGGCUUUUUAAGUGAUGUCAAACCUGCACUUCUUAGUGCCCUGGAUGCUGAAUAUGAGAAAAAUCCUUUUGAGGGUGCCGCUGUUGCUCCGAAGAGAACAGUAAGAGUUAUGGAUACUUCAUCUUCUACAUCUGCUGGCCCGUCUGAUGGGCUGCCACGGGAAGACAUUAGUGCUAAAAUAACACCUACUUUAUUAAAGAAUUUGGGCAGUCCUGACUGGAAGGUACGGCUGGAGUCCAUUGAUGCAGUCAACAAAAUUGUGGAGGAGGCCCAUAAACGCAUCCAGCCUACAGGAACAGUUGAGCUCUUCACUGCACUUAGAGGCCGUCUUUAUGACAGCAACAAAAAUUUAGUAAUGGCAACCUUGUCCACCAUUGGUGGCCUUGCAUAUGCUAUGGGCCCUUCUGUUGAAAAAUCAAGCAAGGGUAUUUUGGCAGAUGUGCUGAAGUGCCUUGGUGACAAUAAGAAGCACAUGCGAGAGUGCACAUUGACUGCUUUGGAUUCAUGGGUUGCUGCUGCCCAACUCGACAAGAUGGUUCCAUAUAUUAUAGUGACUUUGGGUGAUCAGAAAACAGGAUCAGAAGGGCGAAAAGAUCUUUUUGAUUGGCUAUCUAAGCAUGUUUCAAAAGUCGGCGAUCCAUCUGAGGCUUUGCCUUUGUUGAAGCCCUCAGCAUCUUCUUUGAUGGAUAAAUCUUCUGAAGUCCGCAAAGCUGCUGAAUCCUUUAUGAAUGAAAUUCUCAAAACAUGUGGCCAAGAAGUGGUUGGAAGGAACCUAAAAGAUUUGCCAUCACCUACUUUGGCCAUUGUAGCAGAGAGGUUGAAACUGACUACUAUACAUGAAGGAUUUUCUGAAUCUGUCAAGAUGGUGACAACAAGCAUGAGCUUGCCAUCAAAAGCAGGUUUGAAGAGCAGUAAACAUGGUGGUAACGAUCGUGGUUCUAAUGUGGCCAAACCUGUCUCUCAGAGAGGUCUUCCAGCAAGAGCAUCCGUUACUAUGGUUUCUACGCAAGAUCAUGUACAAUCCCAGUCAUUAUUUAACAUAAAGGACUCAAACAAGGAAGAGCGGGAGAGACGUGUUUUGGUUAGAAAAUUCAAGUUUGAAGAACCGCGCCGAGAGCAGAUUGAUGAGUUAAAGACUGAUUUGUUUAAGCAUUUCCGAGAAGAUGUAAGUUUGCGAUUGUGGAACUCAGACUUUAAGAGGCAAAUAGAUGGUAUCGAAUUGCUACAAAAGGCACUUCCUUCGAGUGGGAAAGAAGUAAUUGAGCUUCUUGACAUACUAUUAAGGUGGUUUGUCUUACGCUUUUGUGAAUCUAACACAACAUGUUUGCUGAAGGUCCUUGACUUUCUUCCUGAGCUGUUUGAUGUUCUAAAAGACCAAUCUUACAUGUUAACAGAAGCUGAAGCUGCAAUUUUUCUUCCUUGCCUUGUAGAGAAGUCUGGUCAUAACAUUGAAAAAGUUAGGGAAAAAAUGGGGGAGCUGAUAAAGCAAAUGGUCAACAUUUAUUCUCUUCCCAAACUACUCCCAUAUACUUUGGAGGGACUCCGCUCCAAGAAUAACCGGACGAGGAUAGAAUGUGUGGAUAUUAUUGGAUACUUCAUUGACCAUCAUGGGACUGAGGUUGGUGGGUUGAUGAAGAACUUGCCAUCUGUUGCAGCACUGACAGCUGAGCGUGAUGGUGAGAUCAGGAAAGCUGCUCUAAAUACACUUGCAACUGCCUACAAAAACCUCGGGGAUGAUGUAUGGCGAUAUGUUGGAAAACUCUCAGAUGCCCAAAGAAGCAUGCUUGAUGAUAGGUUUAAAUGGAAGGCUAGAGAAAUGGAUAAAAGGAGAGAAGGAAGGCCUGGUGAUGCUCGAGCAGCUUUGAGGCGUUCAGUUAGAGAGAAUGGGUCUGACAUAGCAGAACAAAGCGGAGAAGUGGUUUCCCGUUCAGUUGCAGCAUCAAUGAUCUCAAGGGACAAUUUCGGAUAUGCUGAUGCUCAUAUGGAUAGGCAUAUGGUUCCUAGGCAGAUGCCAGCUGCAACUGGUCCUGCAGACUGGCGUGAAGCUCUUGAAAUUGUUGCAUUGGGUUUGCCUGAGCAGUCCGUUGAAGGAAUGAAAGUUGUAUGCCAUGAGCUAACUCAGGCAGCUGAUCCUGAAAGCACGGUGCUUGAAGAUCUAAUUAAGGAAGCUGACAGAUUAGUUUCAUGCUUGGCAGUUAUGGUUCCAAAGACCUUCAAUUUUAGCCUGUCUGGGGCAUCUUCAAGGUCCUGUAAAUAUGUUUUAAAUACGCUCAUGCAGACGUUUCAGAUCAAACGUCUUGCUCAUGCUGUGAAGGAGAGUACCCUAGACAACCUUAUUACGGAGUUACUUCUUUGGCUUUUAGAUGAAAGAGUUCCUCUUAUGGAUGAUGGCAGUCAAUUACUCAAAGCGCUAAAUGUCUUAAUGCUUAAGAUCCUGGAUAAUGCUGAAAGAACAUCCUCGUUUGUUGUGCUAAUUAAUUUAUUGAGGCCUUUGGACCCUUCAAGAUGGCCGUCGCCUACACCAACUGAAUCUCUUGCUGUAAAGAAUCAGAAGUUUUCAGACUUAGUUGUCAAAUGUUUAAUUAAGUUGACAAAGGUUCUUCAGAGUACAAUUUAUGAAGUUGAUCUUGAUCGAAUUCUUCAGAGCAUCCAUAUUUAUUUACAAGAACUGGGAAUGGAAGAAAUACGUAGAAGGGCUGGUGCUGAUGAUAAGCCAUUAAGAAUGGUCAAAACAGUCUUGCAUGAACUUGUCAAGCUUCGAGGGACAGCAAUUAAAGGUCACCUUUCAAUGGUUCCUAUAGAUGCUGAACCUCAGCCAAUAAUUCUAGCAUACAUUGAUCUUAAUCUUCAGACCCUUGCAGCAGCUAGAAUGUUGACACCAUCUGGACCUAUGGGACAAACUCACUGGGGUGACGCUGCAUCAAACAAUCCAAACCCAUCUACUCACUCAGCUGAUGCGCAAUUGAAGCAAGAGCUUGCUGCUGUCUUCAAGAAAAUUGGUGAUAAGCUGACAUGUACAAUUGGUCUGUAUGAACUUUAUCGAAUAACCCAGCUCUACCCAAAGGUCGACAUAUUUGCUCAGCUUCAGAAUGCAAGUGAAGCAUUUAGAACCUAUAUCAGAGAUGGGCUAGCUCAGGUGGAGAAAAAUGCGGCAGCUGGAAGAACGCCCUCUAGUCUUCCAUUAUCCACUCCUCCACCAAUAGCAGCCAUACCCUCUCCAAAAUUUGCACCAUCUCCUGUUCACACAAAAUCGAUUGGUAGCAAAACAGAUUCCAAUGAAGAUGAUGGGACACAACAGGCCUUCAGAAGCCAAGGAGAUGAUGCUAGACUACAUUCUAUGGACCAACGAACUGACAGAUACCAGACCUCAGGGACAUUGGAUGCUCUUAGGGAAAGGAUGAAAAGCAUGCAAGCCGCAGCUGUAGGUCAUUUCGAUGGUGCUCAGGCUCGGCCACUGGCAAGUAUGAAUGGAAGUAGCAUGCUCCAUGGGGGAACACGAUUGGAUGGUGAACCCCAGCAACAAAGUAAUAUUCCGCCCAUGGAUGAACGAGCUCUGUCUGGGCUGCAAGCACGGAUGGAGAGGCUAAAGAGUGGGUCUUUGGAGCCACUAUAGAUACGAUAACAGUACUCAGAAAUACCAACCAUUGUAAUUCAUUGUAAAUUUGAGGCAUAGUGAUGCUGUUGUUUGUAGAUAUAGGAAUGUCGGAUGCACUAAACGGCUUGGGGCCGACAUUUCGUAACCCCCAUGCCAGGUCAGCCCAUUCUUGCAGAGCCUUUGGGUGCCGUUUUAGGUGAGAGUUAGCCAGAUGUUUUCUUUGUAGUACCUACUCCAGCAAGGGCUAAUUAGUAUUGACUAUUGACACAUUUUGCAGCACUGCGUUGAUUUUUUGUGUGGUGUACAGCAAUAGAAUUUGGCUUAUUAAAUUAAUUGCGAGAUGUACUUGUGAAAUAUACAGUAUGAUGCCCCAUAAUAA
RNA transcript from Panicum virgatum (switchgrass), 6505 nucleotides. It is a transcript of the gene named protein MOR1-like, with no coding region annotated. The record is from RefSeq and is a predicted model, not a curated record. The transcript has 53 exons. Lineage: Eukaryota; Viridiplantae; Streptophyta; Magnoliopsida; Poales; Poaceae.